Molecule: non-coding RNA, 771 nt
Organism: Gopherus evgoodei (Goodes thornscrub tortoise)
Lineage: Eukaryota; Metazoa; Chordata; Testudines; Testudinidae
Source: the annotation of a RefSeq genome assembly
GGAGAGAGUGUGCAGCAAUAACUCUGGGGUUACCUCAGCCAAUGAGCUACAAGAACUAAGAGCACUGGCUGUUUUAGCAGCAGAUCUGACACCUCCUCAAUUAGAGCCCCUGGCAGCAGUGCCCAGGGAAAGGUUCUCUAAGGAACAUGAGAGCCCAGCUGGAAAGGCUCUUUCUGCUUUGGCCACUUCUCCUGUCUCUGUGGAUGGGAGCCACAGAAAAUACUGCUGCUGUCAUUGUGGUUAAUCAGACACCUCUUUCUAUCCGUGCAAUGGAAGGGUCAGAGUUCACCAUCAAGUGUACAUUCAACACAAGCAAUAAUUCAACCAGGUGGUUUGUUGAAUGGAAUAAAAUCAGAAACAAUGUAACAGAAAAGGUGUCCAAUGGAACAGAUCGAAUCACAUCAGCAGAUAAAGAAAAGAGGUCUCUUUCCCUCACUGUGAAGAAAGCCAGCGUCACUGAUUCUGGAACCUACGUGUGUAGGGUUGGGAGCAAAGAUGUGAUAUAUCCUGGGACCGGAACCCAAGUGACCAUUGAAGGAUUCAGACAUUACAGACCUCGUGUUCAAUCAGAGUCCAGCCAAGAUCAGGGAUUCGGAAGGGUCAGAUCUCACAAGGGAGUGGAGAUUCAGGACCCCAGAAAACCCAAACCCCAGAGACGUGGAAUGGCACAAGCACAAUGGAACUGGAGGAAAAGGAGCUAAUGAGCGAAAGGGGCUUAGGUCACAGCUGCUCGAUAUUUGGAAGAGGGUUUCACACCUCUGAAGAAAGCAA